This 301-nucleotide ribosomal RNA is filed under the name uncultured bacterium. RNAcentral describes it as "partial 16S ribosomal RNA". It matches the Rfam family "Bacterial small subunit ribosomal RNA", at positions 509 to 807 of the family's 1533-position model. The record is from RNAcentral.
CAGUCGCCGCGGGAAUAUGAAGGGGGCUAGCGUUGUUCGGAUUAACUGGGCGUAAAGGGCGCGUAGGCGGGUUUUUAAGUCAGAGGUGAAAUCCCAAGGCUCAACCUUGGAACUGCCUUUGAUACUGGAAGUCUUGAGUCCGGGAGAGGUGAGUGGAACUGCGAGUGUAGAGGUGAAAUUCGUAGAUAUUCGCAAGAACACCAGUGGCGAAGGCGGCUCACUGGCCCGAUACUGACGCUGAGGCACGAAAGCGUGGGGAGCAAACAGGAUUAGAUACCCGGGUAGUCCCUGUCUCUUAUAC